Molecule: ribosomal RNA, 258 nt
Filed under: uncultured bacterium
Lineage: Bacteria
Description: partial 16S ribosomal RNA
Rfam family: Bacterial small subunit ribosomal RNA
Source: RNAcentral
UACGUAGGGGGCAAGCGUUGUCCGGAUUUAUUGGGCGUAAAGAGCGUGUAGGCGGCUUGGUAGGUCCGCUGUGAAAACUCGAGGCUCAACCUCGAAGAUGUCGGGCGGAAACCCACUUGGCAUAGAGUCCGGAAGAGGAGAGUGGAAUUCCUGGUGUAGCGGUGAAAUGCGCAGAUAGUCAGGAAGAACACCCGUGGCGAAGGCGGCUCUCUGGGACGGUACUGACGCUGAGACGCGAAAGCGUGGGGAGCGAACAGG